Molecule: ribosomal RNA, 216 nt
Filed under: uncultured bacterium
Lineage: Bacteria
Description: partial 16S ribosomal RNA
Rfam family: Bacterial small subunit ribosomal RNA
Source: RNAcentral
ACGCUCGACACCUCGGGGGGCAGCAGUGAGGAAUAUUGGUCAAUGGACGCAAGUCUGAACCAGCCAUGCCGCGUGCAGGAUGACGGCUCUAUGAGUUGUAAACUGCUUUUGUACGAGGGUAAACGCAGAUACGUGUAUCUGUCUGAAAGUAUCGUACGAAUAAGGAUCGGCUAACUCCGUGCCACAGCCGCGGUAAUCUGAGCGGGCUGGCAAGGC